RNAcentral lists this ribosomal RNA (275 nucleotides) under uncultured bacterium. RNAcentral describes it as "partial 16S ribosomal RNA". It matches the Rfam family "Bacterial small subunit ribosomal RNA", at positions 338 to 629 of the family's 1533-position model. The record is from RNAcentral.
CCUACGGGGGGCUGCAGCAAGGAAUUUUCCGCAAUGGGCGCAAGCCUGACGGAGCAACGCCGCGUGGGGGAGGACGCUUUUCGGAGUGUAAACCCCUUUUCUCAGGGAAGAAUUCUGACGGUACCUGAGGAAGAAGGACCGGCUAACUACGUGCCAGCAGCCGCGGUAAUACGUAGGGUCCGAGCGUUGUCCGGAGUUACUGGGCGUAAAGCGCGCGCAGGUGGUCCGUUAAGCCCGGCGUGAAAGCCCCCGGCUCAACCGGGGAGGGUCGUCGG